UUUUUUUUCUUUUUUUUUUAGAUGGAGUCUUGCUCUGUCACUCAGGCUGGAGUGCAGUGGUGUGAUCUUGGCUCACUGCAACCUUCGCCUCCCAGGUUCUAGUGAUUCUCCUGCCUCAGCCUCCUGAGUAGCUGGGAUUUCAGGCGUGUGCCACCAUGCCCAGCUAAUUUUUGUAUUCUUAGUAGAGAUGGGGUUUCACCAUGUUGGUCAGGCUGGUCUCAAACUCCUGACCUCAUAAGCCUCCCACCUUGGCCUCCCAAAGUGCUGGGAUUAUAGGCGUGAGCCACCACGCCCAGCCUGGUUUAUUUUCUAGAAUUCUCCACUUAUGGUGCUUUCAAAGGGAAGCAUUGCAUAUGUUAACCGGCCAUUCUCACUGUGGAACAUGAUCUGCUGCCACCUCUGACACUGGCACAGGAGAAAAGAGACAGGUGGGAGUUCCUGGAACCACCGAAUCUGAAAACUGCAUGAGAACUUGAGGCUUGUGAGAGCUGCAAGGAUAGAGCUGAGGUCCCCAGAAGCAGGAGGAACCCUUGUGGUUUGGAGAAGCACGCAGCUCGAUGACAAAGUCAAUGGUGAAAUUUCAGUUCUGGCCAGCACCACAAGACUGGACUCUCCUUGGUCUCUGGGACUCCCUUGGAGUCCCCAGGAUCAUGUAGGGACAGUGGCAGCCAGGCUGACUAUAGAAGCUUAGAACGCCAUGUUGGCCUCACAUGCCUAGCGGCGUGAAAAGAUUAGGGUGUAGAAAUAGAAGAAACAUUCAGAAAUGUUUCUAUGGUUCAAUACCACUUGGACACUACCACCGGCACCAUUCCCUAUCAAUUCAGCAAACCCCCAUCACCAAAAGAACUCACAUCCCGGAAUUAAAUAGGGAGGACCAUUACGAAGAGAGGGGAAGGAAGGAAUUUGAUGUUUUGUCCUUAUGAAGUUCUAUCUGGUGAUGGCAUCCCCCGCUCCACCCACGGCAGGAGCCCUUGUGUAUACAUAGCCAUCCCGUCAAUGUGUGAAGGCCUUGAGUGGCAUCAGGGCUCUCUUGAUGUUUCAGUGCCAGACAUACUGCUCAGACUUAUACAUAUCUUCCCCAGCUUCCAGAAUGUAGCCAUCAACGUAGGGAGCAUACCAAGACUACACAAACCCUAACUGUCAGGAAAGUAAAGAACUCCACCUCUAGCUAGCUAAACCCCAAUCGCAAAAGGACACAACAAAACGUGGGGAAGAAGAAGUGAAGCCCGGGCACAGUGGCUCACGCCUGUAAUCCCAGCACUUUGGGAGGCCGAGGCAGGAGGACUGCUUGAUCCCAGGAGAUGGAGACCAACCUAGACAACAUAGAGGGACCCUGUCUCCACGA
RNAcentral lists this long non-coding RNA (1345 nucleotides) under Macaca fascicularis (crab-eating macaque). RNAcentral describes it as "lncRNA (ENSMFAG00000060141.1)". The record is from RNAcentral. Lineage: Eukaryota; Metazoa; Chordata; Mammalia; Primates; Cercopithecidae.